Molecule: long non-coding RNA, 457 nt
Filed under: Brassica napus (rape)
Lineage: Eukaryota; Viridiplantae; Streptophyta; Magnoliopsida; Brassicales; Brassicaceae
Description: long non-coding RNA (BNAP_LNC015757)
Source: RNAcentral
AAAGUCCCUUGCUUCUCAAAAUGUACAUCUUAUUAAGCUUGAUCGUUCAUGACUUGUUAGUUUCUCUCUUGUCUUAGCCCCACUUAAGAUGACCGAUUCAGUUUUUCACUUGGUCUUGAGUUUCUUGUAAUCAGAGUAACUGUUGUUGGUUUAGUCAUUCACAAUUUUUGGCUUUUCUAUUUAGCUCUAAUUUACACCAGCAAAGUCACUGUGCAUUCUCAUCUAGUAGAAAGUCACUGUGCAUUCUCAUCUAGUAGAAAGUCACUCUGCUGUUCUAGUGAGCUCUAAUUUGGUUGGGAAUUCCUUUUUCUCCGUAACGGCUAAUCCCACCUUAGCAAUUCUCAUCUAGUAGAAAGUCACUCUGCUGUUCUAGUGAGCUCUAAUUUGGUUGGGAAUUCCUUUUUCUCCGUAACGGCUACUCCCACUUCAGCUCUGAAUUGCGGAAAAACCUUGAAAC